CCUACGGGAGGCAGCAGUGAGGAAUAUUGGUCAAUGGACGAGAGUCUGAACCAGCCAAGUAGCGUGAAGGAUGACUGCCCUAUGGGUUGUAAACUUCUUUUAUAUGGGAAUAAAAUGUUCCACGUGUGGGAUUUUGUAUGUACCAUAUGAAUAAGGAUCGGCUAACUCCGUGCCAGCAGCCGCGGUAAUACGGAGGAUCCGAGCGUUAUCCGGUGUUAUUGGGGUGAAAGGGAGCGUAGAGUGAUUGGUAAGCCCGUAGGGAAAGGUGGCGGCUCAACCGUAAGAUUGCAGUGGAAACUGGAAGUCUUGAGUACAGGAGAGGUGAGCGGAAUUCGUGGUGUAGCGGUGAAAUGCUUAGAUAUCACGAAGAACUCCGGUUGCGAAGGCGGUUCACUGGACUGCAACUGACACUGAGGCUCGAAAGUGUGGGUAUCAAACAGGAUUAGAUACCCUGGUAGUC
Molecule: ribosomal RNA, 460 nt
Filed under: uncultured bacterium
Lineage: Bacteria
Description: partial 16S ribosomal RNA
Rfam family: Bacterial small subunit ribosomal RNA
Source: RNAcentral